AUACAGAGGGUGCAAGCGUUAAUCGGAAUUACUGGGCGUAAAGCGCGCGUAGGCGGCUUGGUCAGUCGGAUGUGAAAGCCCCGGGCUCAACCUGGGAACUGCAUUCGAUACUGCCAGGCUAGAGUAUGGUAGAGGGUAGUAGAAUUCCUGGUGUAGCGGUGAAAUGCGUAGAUAUCAGGAGGAAUACCAGUGGCGAAGGCGGCUACCUGGACCAAUACUGACGCUGAGGUGCGAAAGCGUGGGGAGCAAACAGGAUUAGAUACCCUAGUAGUCC
Molecule: ribosomal RNA, 274 nt
Filed under: uncultured bacterium
Lineage: Bacteria
Description: partial 16S ribosomal RNA
Rfam family: Bacterial small subunit ribosomal RNA
Source: RNAcentral